GCAGCACACUGCAUGGCAGUAAUAUAUAUGAAAUUGAAAUUAGUUUGUACUCUACAAUUUUCUAUACUUUUUAACAUCCAAAAUACCAACUCUUGUGUAUUCAUUUCUUCUUAAAUAUUGUUUGUACUUCGUGAUCAUAAUGCAGAGAUAAAGUACGAACUGCGAUAUAGACUUCAAAUUCUUCGACGUCCAGGUUUUCUUCAUGGAUACACAACACAAACAACACUAAAAGGCUUCAUUUUAUCCUGGAGGCAUAUUUGCAUUCCCUUGUGAAUCAAAGAUUUGUAGGGACAAAUAACAUCUUGAGGGAAGUGAUAUUAUUUUAAGUUCGAGUUUCUGCCAUAAUCCAACUUCUAGUCGUCUACUUAUCAUCUCAAGAUUAAUCCCAUCAACAAUCUUCAGACAUAAUUUCAAGUUUUCUAUGGCACGUCCAAUGUUUUAGUUAUGAGAUUUUGCAGCAGACUUUGUCAAAUUGGAAAGGUUUGAAGAUUCAAAUUUUCGAAUAUGGCAAAAAAAACUUCACUUCCUUCUCACAAUCCUCAACGUGGUGUAAUAGCUUACAACUCCAAAGCCAGAAGAGACAAAAAAUGAACCAUUGGAGAUACAAGACCUAGACAAAAAUGAGAUCAAGAUGAUUACAUAUGCGAGGGUCACAUUUAACAUGCAAUGUCUCAUAAUUCUCUUUUUGAUCAGUACCACAAGAAGAAAAUCGCCAAGGAAAUAUGGGAAGCAUUGGAAGCCAAAUGCAUGUUGGAGGAUAUUAC
RNAcentral lists this long non-coding RNA (764 nucleotides) under Olea europaea subsp. europaea. The record is from RNAcentral. Lineage: Eukaryota; Viridiplantae; Streptophyta; Magnoliopsida; Lamiales; Oleaceae.